This 626-nucleotide ribosomal RNA is filed under the name uncultured Janthinobacterium sp. RNAcentral's name for it is "bacterial SSU rRNA". It matches the Rfam family "Bacterial small subunit ribosomal RNA", at positions 153 to 774 of the family's 1533-position model. The record is from RNAcentral. Lineage: Bacteria; Pseudomonadati; Pseudomonadota; Betaproteobacteria; Burkholderiales; Oxalobacteraceae.
GAAAGUUACGCUAAUACCGCAUACGAACUAAGGUUGAAAGUGGGGGAUCGCAAGACCUCAUGCUCAUGGAGUGGCCGAUAUCUGAUUAGCUAGUUGGUAGGGUAAAAGCCUACCAAGGCGACGAUCAGUAGCUGGUCUGAGAGGACGACCAGCCACACUGGAACUGAGACACGGUCCAGACUCCUACGGGAGGCAGCAGUGGGGAAUUUUGGACAAUGGGGGCAACCCUGAUCCAGCAAUGCCGCGUGAGUGAAGAAGGCCUUCGGGUUGUAAAGCUCUUUUGUCAGGGAAGAAACGGUGAUCGCUAAUAUCGGUUGCUAAUGACGGUACCUGAAGAAUAAGCACCGGCUAACUACGUGCCAGCAGCCGCGGUAAUACGUAGGGUGCAAGCGUUAAUCGGAAUUACUGGGCGUAAAGCGUGCGCAGGCGGUUUUGUAAGUCUGAUGUGAAAUCCCCGGGCUCAACCUGGGAAUUGCAUUGGAGACUGCAAGGCUAGAAUCUGGCAGAGGGGGGUAGAAUUCCACGUGUAGCAGUGAAAUGCGUAGAUAUGUGGAGGAACACCGAUGGCGAAGGCAGCCCCCUGGGUCAAGAUUGACGCUCAUGCACGAAAGCGUGGGGAGCAAACA